RNAcentral lists this transfer RNA (83 nucleotides) under Thalassospira xiamenensis. RNAcentral's name for it is "tRNA_Leu_CAA". It matches the Rfam family "tRNA". From Rfam's summary of the family: Transfer RNA (tRNA) molecules are approximately 80 nucleotides in length. Their secondary structure includes four short double-helical elements and three loops (D, anti-codon, and T loops). Lineage: Bacteria; Pseudomonadati; Pseudomonadota; Alphaproteobacteria; Rhodospirillales; Thalassospiraceae. The record is from RNAcentral.
GCGGGGGUGGCGGAAUGGUAGACGCGGCGGUCUCAAACAUCGUUGCCAGAGAUGGCGUGGGGGUUCGAAUCCCCCUCCCCGCA